This 934-nucleotide non-coding RNA is filed under the name Chlorocebus sabaeus (green monkey). Its description in RNAcentral is "Bacterial small subunit ribosomal RNA". It matches the Rfam family "Bacterial small subunit ribosomal RNA", at positions 480 to 1533 of the family's 1533-position model. Lineage: Eukaryota; Metazoa; Chordata; Mammalia; Primates; Cercopithecidae. The record is from Rfam by way of RNAcentral.
CUGAUAUAUAGGGUUGGUCAAUUUCAGGCCAGCCACUGUGGCCAUACCAUUGACCCAGGCCAAUAGAACUCAGCGUAAAGAGUGUUUAAGAUCUGCCCUCAAUAAAGCUAAACUCCAUUUAAGUUGUAAAAUACUUAGGCUGAAAUAAAAUAUACUACGAAAGUAGCUUUAAUAUCCUGAAGACACGACAGCUAAGAUCCAAACUGGGAUUAGAUAUCCCACUAUGCUUAGCCCUAAACUGUAAUAGUUACAUUAACAAAACCAUUAACCAGAAUACUACAAGCAAUAGCUUAAAACUCAAAGGACUUGGUGGUGUUUUAUGUCCCUCUAGAGGAGCCCGUUCUAUAAUCGAUAAACCCCAGUCUACCUCACCACCUCAUGCCCCCAGCGUAUAUACCGCCAUCUUAGCAAACUCUAAAAAGGUUAUAGAGUAAGUACAAUACACAUAAAAACGUUAGGUCAAGGUGUAGCUCAUGAGGUGGGCUACCUCACCACCUCAUGCCCCCAGCGUAUAUACCGCCAUCUUAGCAAACUCUNNNNNNNNNNAACCCCAGUCUACCUCACCACCUCAUGCCCCCAGCGUAUAUACCGCCAUCUUAGCAAACUCUAAAAAGGUUAUAGAGUAAGUACAAUACACAUAAAAACGUUAGGUCAAGGUGUAGCUCAUGAGGUGGCAAGAAAUGGGCUACAUUUUCUAUACCCAGAAAAUCUCACAACAAAUUUUAUGAAAUCUAAAGACUCAAGGAGGAUUUAGCAGUAAACCAAGAGUAGAGUGCUUGGUUGAAUAAGGCCAUGAAGCACACACACACUGCCUGUCACCUUUUCAAAUACUAUUCUAGAAAUCCCUAGUACUAAAACCUCUCUACACACGUAUAGAGGAGAUAAGUCAUAACGUGGUAAGCAUACUGCAAAGUGCACUUGGACAAACCAAAGU